This 815-nucleotide ribosomal RNA is filed under the name uncultured bacterium. RNAcentral's name for it is "bacterial SSU rRNA". It matches the Rfam family "Bacterial small subunit ribosomal RNA", at positions 8 to 796 of the family's 1533-position model. The record is from RNAcentral.
AGAGUUUGAUCCUGGCUCAGAACGAACGCUGGCGGCGUGGAUAAGACAUGCAAGUCGAGCGGAACAUUCGGGGUAGCAAUAUUCCGGAUGUUCAGCGGCGCAAGGGUGCGUAACACGUGGGCAAUUUGCCAUAAAGCCUGGGAUAACUCGCUGAAAGGCGAGCUAAUACCGGAUGUGAAGUUUGGAAGGCAUCUUCCGGACUUUAAAGUUGGGGACCGCAAGGCCUGACACUUUAUGAUAAGCCCGCGGCCUAUCAGCUAGUUGGUGAGGUAACGGCUCACCAAGGCGAAGACGGGUAGCUGGUCUGAGAGGACGACCAGCCACACUGGAACUGAGACACGGUCCAGACACCUACGGGUGGCAGCAGUCGAGAAUUUUUCACAAUGGGCGAAAGCCUGAUGGAGCGACGCCGCGUGGGGGAUGAAUGGCUUCGGCCCGUAAACCCCUGUCAUUUGCGAACAAACCUUUCCACCUAACACGUGGAGAGCUGAUUGUAGCGGAAGAGGAAGGGACGGCUAACUCUGUGCCAGCAGCCGCGGUAAUACAGAGGUCCCAAGCGUUGUUCGGAUUCACUGGGCGUAAAGGGUGCGUAGGCGGUCAGGUAAGUCUGAUGUGAAAUCCCGAAGCCUAACUUCGGAACUGCAUUGGAUACUAUCUGGCUAGAGGAAUGGAGGGGAGACUGGAAUGCUCGGUGUAGCAGUGAAAUGCGUAGAUAUCGAGCGGAACACCAGUGGCGAAGGCGAGUCUCUGGACAUUUCCUGACGCUGAGGCACGAAAGCCAGGGGAGCAAACGGGAUUAGAUACCCUAGUAGUCC